Molecule: non-coding RNA, 99 nt
Organism: Acanthosepion pharaonis
Lineage: Eukaryota; Metazoa; Mollusca; Cephalopoda; Sepiida; Sepiidae
Source: the annotation of a GenBank genome assembly
UUACGGCCACAUCACGUGAAAAAACCGGUUCCUGUAUGAUCACCGAAGUUAAGCAACGUAGCUUAGUACUUAGAUGGGUGACUGCUUGGGAAUACGAGG